RNAcentral lists this ribosomal RNA (253 nucleotides) under uncultured bacterium. RNAcentral's name for it is "partial 16S ribosomal RNA". It matches the Rfam family "Bacterial small subunit ribosomal RNA", at positions 524 to 776 of the family's 1533-position model. The record is from RNAcentral.
UACAGGGGGUGCAAACGUUGCUCGGAAUUAUUGGGCGUAAAGCGCGCGUAGGCGGCCACUUAAGUCGGAUGUGAAAGCCCCCGGCUCAACUGGGGAGGGUCAUUCGAUACUGUUCGACUCGAAGACAGGAGAGGGAAGUGGAAUUCCCGGUGUAGUGGUGAAAUGCGUAGAUAUCGAGAGGAACACCUGCGGCGAAGGCGGGUUGCUGGGCUGACACUGACGCUGAUGCGCGAAAGCUAGGGGAGCGAACGGG